UUAACGUUAGCCUGCGACUUUGUUCCAGUUUUGAAUUUUGGCCCACUGUGUAUUUGAGUUUGACACCCCUGAUCUAACCUCUCCUCUUCCUCACAGCUCUGAUUUCUCUGAGGGAGAUGUUGUGACUGUAAUCUGUGAGGAGGACCAAAGCUUUUCUGAUUGGACUGUGAGGAGAAACACCAGCAAACUGCAGAGGGCUGAGUGUGGAGAUGGGCGGGGACAACAGCAACGUGAUCAAUCAUGUUCAAUCAGUACGCUGGUGCCUCACGACACCGGAGUUUACUGGUGUGAGUCCAGUAAUGGUGCCAUCAGUAACCUGGUUAAUAUCACAGUCACUGGUCACACAGGAGGAUCUGUUGGACUGAAGGUCAGCCUGUCAGUUCCUGCUGUGCUUCUUGUUGCUGCUGUUUUCUUCAUGUAGAGAAAACAAAAACAACAAAAGAAUCAGGAUCCAGCCUCAUGUUGAGCUGCAGCAAAAUAAAAUGUCUGAAUCUUUUUAAAUCAGCACUCUUAGUCUCCCGCUGGUGGUUUCAGCGUUGUCAGUGAACCUGGGGAACAUGAGAUGAUGCUGGUAACAGAUCAAAGGUAGUGAACAGCAGACAGGGAUCAGCUGCAGGUUUAAUACACGUCCUGAAUUUGGUUUAGUUUGAAGUUUCUGUAAAAUAAAACCAAACGUUGUGAUUUGUCUCUUUAUAAAUAAAGUUGAAUUGAAUUUC
Haplochromis burtoni (Burton's mouthbrooder) is the source of this 716-nucleotide long non-coding RNA. RefSeq lists it as uncharacterized. The transcript is spliced from 2 exons. NCBI's taxonomy places the organism in Eukaryota, Metazoa, Chordata, Actinopteri, Cichliformes, Cichlidae. The record is from RefSeq and is a predicted model, not a curated record.